Molecule: ribosomal RNA, 495 nt
Filed under: uncultured bacterium
Lineage: Bacteria
Description: partial 16S ribosomal RNA
Rfam family: Bacterial small subunit ribosomal RNA
Source: RNAcentral
GAUGAACGCUAGCGGGAGGCCUAACACAUGCAAGCCGAGCGGUAUUGUUUCUUCGGAAAUGAGAGAGCGGCGUACGGGUGCGUAACACGUGUGCAACCUGCCUUUAUCUGGGGGAUAGCCUUUCGAAAGGAAGAUUAAUACUCCAUAAUAUAUUGAACGGCAUCGUUUAAUAUUGAAAGCUCCGGCGGAUAGAGAUGGGCACGCGCAAGAUUAGCUAGUUGGUGAGGUAACGGCUCACCAAGGCGAUGAUCUUUAGGGGGCCUGAGAGGGUGAUCCCCCACACUGGUACUGAGACACGGAUCAGACUCCUACGGGAGGCAGCAGUGAGGAAUAUCGGUCAAUGGGUGCAAGCCUGAACCAGCCAUCCCGCGUGAAGGACGACUGCCCUAUGGGUUGUAAACUUCUUUUGUAUAGGGAUAAACCUACCCUCGUGAGGGUAGCUGAAGGUACUAUACGAAUAAGCACCGGCUAACUCCGUGCCAGCAGCCGCAGUAA